Molecule: ribosomal RNA, 491 nt
Filed under: uncultured bacterium
Lineage: Bacteria
Description: partial 16S ribosomal RNA
Rfam family: Bacterial small subunit ribosomal RNA
Source: RNAcentral
AGUGAACGCUGGCGGUAGGCCUAACACAUGCAAGUCGAACGGCAGCACAGUAAGAGCUUGCUCUUACGGGUGGCGAGUGGCGGACGGGUGAGGAAUACAUCGGAAUCUACUUUUUCGUGGGGGAUAACGUAGGGAAACUUACGCUAAUACCGCAUACGACCUACGGGUGAAAGCAGGGGAUCUUCGGACCUUGCGCGAUUGAAUGAGCCGAUGUCGGAUUAGCUAGUUGGCGGGGUAAAGGCCCACCAAGGCGACGAUCCGUAGCUGGUCUGAGAGGAUGAUCAGCCACACUGGAACUGAGACACGGUCCAGACUCCUACGGGAGGCAGCAGUGGGGAAUAUUGGACAAUGGGCGCAAGCCUGAUCCAGCCAUAACGCGGGGGUGAAGAAGGCCUUCGGGUUGUAAAGCCCUUUUGUUGGGAAAGAAAAGCAGCAGGUUAAUACCCCGCUGUUCUGACGGUACCCAAAGAAUAAGCACCGGCUAACUUCGU